RNAcentral lists this ribosomal RNA (1264 nucleotides) under metagenome. RNAcentral's name for it is "bacterial LSU rRNA". It matches the Rfam family "Bacterial large subunit ribosomal RNA", at positions 1629 to 2910 of the family's 2925-position model. The record is from RNAcentral.
CGAAGUAAACUGCUCGUACCGCAAUCCGACACAGGUAGUCGAGGAGAGUAUCCUCAGGCGCUCGAACGAUUCAUGGCUAAGGAACUAGGCAAACUAGACGCGUAACUUCGGGAGAAGCGUCCCUCUUAGUAAUAAGAGGCGCAGUGAAACGGCCCAGGCGACUGUUUAGCAAAAACACAGGACUAUGCUAAUUCGAAAGAAGACGUAUAUGGUCUGACACCUGCCCGGUGCUGGAAGGUUAAGGAAGGGGGUUAGCGCAAGCGAAGCUCUUGACUGAAGCCCCAGUAAACGGCGGCCGUAACUAUAACGGUCCUAAGGUAGCGAAAUUCCUUGUCGGGUAAGUUCCGACCUGCACGAAUGGUGUAACGAUCUGGGCUCUGUCUCAGCCAUGAUUUCGGUGAAAUUGAAGUAUCGGUGAAGAUGCCGGUUACCCGCAACGGGACGAAAAGACCCCGUGCACCUUUACUAUAGCUUCACAUUGGUCUUGAGUCUAAAAUGUGUAGGAUAGCUGGGAGACUUUGAAGCCGCCACGCCAGUGGUGGUGGAGUCGUCCUUGAAAUACCAGCCUUUUUAUAUUUAGGUUCUAAUCCCUAAAGGGAGACAGUGUGUGGUGGGUAGUUUGACUGGGGUGGUCGCCUCCAAAAGAGUAACGGAGGCUCGCAAAGGUGCCCUCAGUACCGUUGGUAAUGGUACGAAGAGCGUAUGAGUAUAAGGGUGCUUGACUGAGAGAACGACGGUUCGACCAGGUGCGAAAGCAGGCUCAAGUGAUCCGGUAACUCCACAUGGGUGGGUUAUCGCUCAUAGGAUAAAAGGUACGCCGGGGAUAACAGGCUGAUCUCCCCCAAGAGCUCGUAUCGACGGGGAGGUUUGGCACCUCGAUGUCGGUUCGUCACAUCCUGGGGCUGGAGAAGGUCCCAAGGGUUGGGCUGUUCGCCCAUUAAAGUGGCACGUGAACUGGGUUCAGAACGUCGCAAGACAGUUCGGUCUCUAUCUGUUGCGGGCGCGGGAAUAUUGAGAAGAUCUGACACUAGUACGAGAGGACCGUGUUGGACGUACCGCUAGUGUACCAGUUGUGGCGCCAGCUGCACCGCUGGGUAGCUAUGUACGGAACGGAUAAGCGCUGAAAGCAUCUAAGCACGAAGCCGUCUUCAAGAUGAGUAUUCCAUUCUCCCUUGCGGAGAUGAAGGGUCGUAGGAGACUACUACGUUGAUAGGCUAUAGGUGGAAGUGCAGUGAUGUAUGGAGCCGAGUAGUACUAAUAACCC